This 77-nucleotide transfer RNA is filed under the name bacterium. RNAcentral describes it as "tRNA-Asp". It matches the Rfam family "tRNA". From Rfam's summary of the family: Transfer RNA (tRNA) molecules are approximately 80 nucleotides in length. Their secondary structure includes four short double-helical elements and three loops (D, anti-codon, and T loops). The record is from RNAcentral.
GGUCCGGUAGUUCAAAUGGUUGGAAUACUGGUCUGUCACACCAGAGGUUGUGGGUUCAAGUCCCAUCCGGACCGCAA